Molecule: long non-coding RNA, 2056 nt
Organism: Bombina bombina (fire-bellied toad)
Lineage: Eukaryota; Metazoa; Chordata; Amphibia; Anura; Bombinatoridae
Exons: 2
Source: RefSeq, a predicted model, not a curated record
UUUAGGUUGCACACAACAGCCUCAUUUUAGAAAUGAAUCAUCCAACAGCAGGAAAAGUGUCAGUUACGGGUCCUGCGGUGAGAUUCAAUGAAUUCAACGUAUCCAGCCCCAGGCCUCCCCCACUUCUGGGACAGCACACUGUUGAAGUUUUGAAAAAUGUUUUGGGAUAUGACGACCAUUAUAUAAAUGAUCUGAUCAAAGCUAGAACAGUAACUCAGAAUAAGGUCAACUAACACUACAGCCCAGAAGAACCACGGCUAACUCUACUCACUAUCUGUCAAUCUUUACAAUUUUUUAUAAAUGUGUAAUCUGAAACAAUUUAAUUUCUUUGGGCAUUUGGAUACUGAAAGUACAAAGUAUUAGAAAGCAUUUUUGAUAUUACAUUUAUGUCACUCCUUAUAUACUCUGCUGCAUUAAAACUAAAAGAUAUUAAAGGGAUAUGAAAUCCCAAAAAAAUAUUUUGUAAUUCAGACAGAACACACCAUUUAAAAAGAAAUACUUUAAUUUAAUUCUUUUAUCAUAUUAGCUUUGUCCCCAUGAUAUUUUGAAGAGAUACCUAGGUAGACAUCUGGAGCGCUACAUGACAGGAAAUAGCGCUGCCAUAUAUUGCUCUUGCAAAUGGAUAACAUUCUUGCAAAACUGCUACCAUAUAAUGUUUUAGAAAUGGUCAGCUCCUAAGCAUACAUCCCUGCUUUUCAACAAAUGAUACCAAGAGAACUUAGAAAAAUUUAUAAUAGAAGUAAAUCAGAAAGUUUUUAAAAUCGCAUACUCAUGAAUCAUGAAAUUAAACAUUUUGGUUUUCAUAUCCCUUUAAACAGUGCUCCUUUGGUAAAAACAAAUAUGUUAAAUGAAAGUAAACAUAAGAAGAAACAGUGUGGAAAAAAACAGCAAACAGCUUACUUGUGCAGUUAGAAAUUCUCAGUGUAGUCCCGCCCUCAGUGUGAUAUGGGAGCUGACAUGUUUGAAACUUCGGUUUCCUGACUGAUCUGGGCAUGAGCAAGUCUGACUCCCUGUUAUCUAGUCUAUUUACUUUAUAGUAAACAAGUUUAGAAGUUUUAUGACAUCAGGCUAAGAUAAACCUUCCUGCAGAGGCCUCUUCCUCCUUGUAGGGCUGUGAUAGGAAGUAAUGGACACUGCACAAAUGUAGUGUAAAAAAUAAAUAAAAAGUAAAAUCCAUUUAAAUAGAUGAGUAAUACAUAUUGUAAUUAUUUCUAUUAGGUAUUAACAACUGUUUAGUGCUUUUUUGUAUUGCGGCAAUGAAACAGACAGUUUAACAUCCCAUUAAAGAGACUUACAAAUUCCUAUACAACAAAUGAGACACUUAAAGGGACAGUAAACACCUUUGCCUAGAUUCCGAGUGGUGUGCUAACUGUAGCCCAAGUGCAAUAUCAUUUUUUUAGGCUCCCUAAAGCGUCUUCAGCCUCUCUAGCCUAGACUAGACUAUCCCUUUAAUGUGUCCCUUUCAAAUUUGAAUAUUGUUCUGUUUGAAUGAUUUCAGAGUUGACACAUAGUAUACCUUAUUUUAAAAUGAACUGUUUUUCUAGAAUGACGCAAGUUAAUUGAUUGCCAAAAGUGUUAUUUCUUGAAUUCACUGAAUAAUUUGGAAUAUUGAAGGGAAAGUCAGAUUGUUCUUCUUUGUCUGCGUAUACCAUGUAUCAAUAUUUCAAUUAUGAGAUUAAAUUAAUAAACUAAAUGUUUCAUUUUGUGACUAAUUCUAAACAAUGAAUUUUAUUUCUGAGUCAACAUGUUCUUCUUAAUCUGUAAAUUAAACUAUAACCUUGACAAUAAAUUGGCCAGUGCAACACCAGGAUCCAUUAUCCUGUUUUGUUAUGUAAAUAUUUGCUUUACAUUAUGUUGCUAUAGCAAACCGUGAUUGUGCUGUAGAAAUAAAGCACCAUUUUAGCAUUUUAUUGACUGUUAGAGCAGAAUACAAGUCCAGAGUUAAUGACAUUAAGCUUGAAUAAGCCUUUUUUUUUGCACCAGUAGUUAAAAGUAUGGUCUGUAUGGCACCAGUUAGUUACUGUCCAGUUUCUAAAUAAAUAGGAAACAAAAUAAA